UACGGAGGAUCCGAGCGUUAUCCGGAUUUAUUGGGUUUAAAGGGUGCGCAGGCGGAAGAUUAAGUCGGUGGUGAAAUUUUGCAGCUCAACUGUAAAAGUGCCAUUGAUACUGGUUUUCUUGAGUGUGGAUGAAGUAGGCGGAAUUUGUGGUGUAGCGGUGAAAUGCUUAGAUAUCACGAGGAACUCCGAUUGCGCAGGCAGCUUACUAAACCACUACUGACGCUCAGGCACGAAGGCGUGGGGAUCAAACAGGAUUAGAUACCCU
Molecule: ribosomal RNA, 265 nt
Filed under: uncultured prokaryote
Description: partial 16S ribosomal RNA
Rfam family: Bacterial small subunit ribosomal RNA
Source: RNAcentral